GUGGGGAAUAUUGCGCAAUGGGGGGAACCCUGACGCAGCCAUGCCGCGUGAAUGAAGAAGGCCUUCGGGUUGUAAAGUUCUUUCGGUAUUGAGGAAGGUUGAUGUGAUAAUAGCACAUCAAAUUGACGUUAAAUACAGAAGAAGCACCGGCUAACUCCGUGCCAGCAGCCGCGGUAAUACGGAGGGUGCGAGCGUUAAUCGGAAUAACUGGGCGUAAAGGGCACGCAGGCGGUUAUUUAAGUGAGGUGUGAAAGCCCCGGGCUUAACCUGGGAAUUGCAUUUCAGACUGGGUAACUAGAGUACUUUAGGGAGGGGUAGAAUUCCACGUGUAGCGGUGAAAUGCGUAGAGAUGUGGAGGAAUACCGAAGGCGAAGGCAGCCCCUUGGGAAUGUACUGACGCUCAUGUGCGAAAGCGUGGGGAGCAA
This 425-nucleotide ribosomal RNA is filed under the name uncultured Haemophilus sp. RNAcentral's name for it is "bacterial SSU rRNA". It matches the Rfam family "Bacterial small subunit ribosomal RNA", at positions 354 to 771 of the family's 1533-position model. Lineage: Bacteria; Pseudomonadati; Pseudomonadota; Gammaproteobacteria; Pasteurellales; Pasteurellaceae. The record is from RNAcentral.